AUAUCAAUAGAUGUUUUGCAAAGCAUGUCAGAUCAUAUACCUCAUUAAUGACAAGAAUUUGACCAUUGUUUUUCUUGACCUUCUUAAGCUUCCUCAAGAAGUACCUAAAACAUAUCAACCAUCAUAGCAUAAGAGAAUCACCUAU
Molecule: long non-coding RNA, 145 nt
Organism: Populus euphratica (Euphrates poplar)
Lineage: Eukaryota; Viridiplantae; Streptophyta; Magnoliopsida; Malpighiales; Salicaceae
Exons: 2
Source: RefSeq, a predicted model, not a curated record